Molecule: long non-coding RNA, 2910 nt
Filed under: Brassica napus (rape)
Lineage: Eukaryota; Viridiplantae; Streptophyta; Magnoliopsida; Brassicales; Brassicaceae
Description: long non-coding RNA (BNAP_LNC016679)
Source: RNAcentral
GCGAAAUUGAGCAACAAGGGUGCCGUUUUAGUGUGUAAAAAUGCUGCGCAGAGAGCGAUAUCUGGAUUUAAAUGGCAAGAUGUGUUGAAAAAAGGGACACGUGUGGUGAGAUCAGUGUUUUUGCCUGUUGGGAGUGGGUUGGACAUGGUACACGUGGGAGCUGCUGGUGGAAACCAGCGUGGUGACUCGAGGAAGCAUCCUAGCCGUUGGAUUAGACAUGUGGAUCAUCUGUCGGGAGAGGAGCAUUUGUUCAGACGCUUAAAUUGAGAUUUCUUCUUUUACCCUUUUGUGAGUCCUAUGAUGUGCAUACGUUACAUGACAAAAAUAAUCUCCCAUAAUCAAAAACUCUCAUCAUCUUUCUUUUUUUCUGAAUAUUUCUCUUCAUUUCAUAAUUCCCUCUCAAAAGGGUAUCUUUUACAACAGACAAACGCAUUAGUAAAUAUACCGCAUGCAUCAUAAACAACAUUGUUUGAUGCCAUAAGCAUUGACUUCUUGGUAAGUCAUAGUCAGGAUGGAGUGGUACGACAUAUCGUACAUUUAUCCCCUUUAUCAAAUUGGUUUAUUUAUAAACUAAUAUAAUAUUUUAAUGCAAAGUUGCAAUUUAACAAUCGUGUCUUUAGUAUAAAACGAAAGCGCGAAUUUGUCGUUUACGCAAUAGUAAAUCUAAUUUAAAUCAUGUCAACUUCAGAAUUUAAAUAGCUUAAGAGUACUUAGCUAGAUGUGGUUGUUCCUACUAUAUCAGGAGCCAUGCUAAAGGCACGUCUCGACCAAUAGUAUAUUAUUAGCUUAAUAUUCGAUUUAAGUUAUCACGGUAAUGCAAAGUAAGAUCAUAACUACCGAUAGUAUUUGAUUCCUUGGUUCAGUUUGGUUCUUUGAAACUUUAAUGUUUGUGUAUCUAAAGAUGGUUCAUGUAAAACAUUGGUGAGCAAUUUUGCCUCUUGUUUAAUGUAAUGGAAAUUCAAAAGAAAAUACUCAUAGUUACUUGCACGUUUGGGGACUACACAACACACGCACAAGUUCACUUAUUCGAUAGAUCUUACUGGCUUAAAGCCUUAAAGUGAUUUACAAGGUUGAAAGAAUCAAAUAUAUGUGUUAAGAUUAAAAUGAAAUCUUGGGGGAUUUCAUUGGCAUAGUUAGUUUGAGCAUAUAAUAACUAACAGAAUAAUUUCAAGAUUAAGAAAUAAAGUCUAUGUUUUUCAACGACAUUCAAAUAUUGGUUUGUUAAAUCAAGCCAGGAAUUGGUUCAUAUUUGUUGUACCUAAGUACAAUAAUCUUUUGUUGUUCACAUUUUUUUAAUUAGUCGAUGGAGCUACCAUUUAUACAUUUAAUAAUUAAUAUUACAUGCUUUGUAAUUAAUAGAUAUCUUUUCAUUAAAAAUAAAUAAAUAAUAGAUAUCUUUGUCGCAUAUUGUUUAGCGUACAUGGAUGGUACGUGCAUAAUCAACCAAACUAGCCGGCGAUGAAAUUGAGUUUAUAUAUUUUAAUGUUAUCUUAUAUCAAUAACCUUAGGUUGGCACAAUGAAAGCGAGUGUCACAGAAAAAACAAAAUCGAAUCGUCAUUGUGUUGAAAUAACAAAGGCUUAAAUCUUCAACAAAGGCUUAAAUCCAAGAUUAAAAAUGAGCAAAAGAGAAAAAAAAUCAAAGAUUGAGGCUGACCAUCUAAUGUAAUAAUUUAAGUUGUCUCACCAAGUCCACAAUGUCAGCGAUCAAAUCCUUUGAUCUAAACGUAUAUUUUUCACAGUCGGCCAUUAGGAUGAAAAGCGAAACAUGGACCAAAAUGAAAAUAAUUAACUAGUACUAUAUAAAAUUUUAUUUAAAUAUAAUUCUUAUAAUUUAUAGUAUUAUUUGUUUUUUUUCUAAAAUAACUACAAAACAAACUCUACUUAGUUAAUCAAAUAAGCAUAUAUGUGGAUAUACGAUAUGACUUAAUUUAGAUAACUCAUUUUAGAUACAGUAUGAAAUUGUUGACAAGAAAAAAGAUAUAGAAUGAAAUUAUAUAUUUUUGACAAGCAUAGGGAAUAGGGAGUAGUAAUAAAUGGUAGCAAUGAGACCAAUUGACACAUUGUUAAUUAGUGUAGGAAAAUGUCAACGCUUCGUCUGUCCAUUUAUAUAAUAACCUAACCACUUUCUUCAUCACACAAACUCACAAAAUCUCCAUUGAACUUUCACCAUGAAGCUUGUCUGGUCGCCUGAAACCGCCUCUGAAGCCUACAUCAACACCGUUAGAUUUGUAUGUGAUUUAACUUAUAAUCAUAUGUGAUAUGUUACAUGUGCUUAUAUUUAUUUAUCCUGAUCAGUUUUAAUUUGCAUGCAUAUAGUGUAAGAGCUACAAAGAAUCAGGAGUGGCGGAGUUUUUAUCAGCUACGGCCGCCGGAUGGAACGCUAGGCUAAUCGUUGAGACAUGGUCACGUGACGAUCCACUCGCGACUAGCGUAGGGCUCGCGGUUGCUGCUAGUCACACUUGCGGUAGACACGUGUGUAUAGUACCAGAUGAGCAGUCGAGACUGGAGUACGUGUCGGCCAUGAGAGGAAUCGUUACGACGGAAGCUACGGAGGUUGUGGUGGUCGGAGAAUCUGUUGAGAACACGAUGGAGGAGUUUCCAGGCGUGGACUUCUUGGUGGUAGACUCGAAGCGGCGAGAGUUCGUCAAAACGCUGAGGUUUGCGAAAUUGAGUAACAAGGGUGCGGUUUUGGUGUGUAAAAACGCUGCGCAGAGAGCGAUAUCUGGGUUUAAAUGGCACGAUGUGUUGAAAACAGGAACACGUGUGGUGAGAUCAGUGUUUUUACCUGUUGGGAGUGGGUUGGACAUGGUACACGUGGGAGCUGCUGGUGGAAACCAGCGUGGUGACUCGAGGAAGCAUCCUAGCCGUUGGAUUAGACAUGUGGAUCAUCUGUCGGGAGAGGAGCAUUU